CUACGGGUCGCUCCAGUGAGGAAUUUUGCGCAAUGGGGGAAACCCUGACGCAGCAACGCCGCGUGAGUGAUGAAGGCUUUCGGGUCGUAAAGCUCUGUCAAGUGGGAAGAACAUGUAUAAGGCCAAUACCCUUAUGCACUGACGGUACCACUGAAGGAAGCACCGGCUAACUCCGUGCCAGCAGCCGCGGGUGAUACGGGGGGUGCAAGCGUUAUUCGGAAUCAUUGGGCGUAAAGAGCACGUAGGCGGUUUUUUAAGUCAGAUGUGAAAGCCCGGGGCUUAACCCCGGAAGUGCAUUUGAUACUGGGAAACUUGAGUAUGGGAGAGGGAAGUGGAAUUCCUGGUGUAGAGGUGAAAUUCGUAGAUAUCAGGAGGAACACCGGUGGCGAAGGCGACUUCCUGGACCAAUACUGACGCUGAGGUGCGAAGGCGUGGGGAGCAAACAGGAUUAGAUACCCCCGUAGUC
Molecule: ribosomal RNA, 466 nt
Filed under: uncultured bacterium
Lineage: Bacteria
Description: partial 16S ribosomal RNA
Rfam family: Bacterial small subunit ribosomal RNA
Source: RNAcentral